GUGGUUCCUGCUCUUUGGGGUGGCAGGUACACUUCUUGCUAAAACAAAUCAUCUCGGUGUCUUUGAUUUUCCUUCUGUCCCUUAGGCUAUUGCUUUUGGAAGGGGGCCCUGGAUCUCCCUCCUGUUUGCUUGGGGGUAAACACAUGGUAUCAUGGGGUUAUGAACACAUGUUGCCUGUGCCAGAUAGCAACACUGCCUCCAGUCUUGAAAAUAAAGCUGGGGGAAGCUGCCCACCUUGUGUGAUAAGGUUGGAGCCUGUCUGCCACACCUCCCUGUGUGUCUCCACGUGUCCUCAGGCCUGCUGGGGGGCUCCCUUGCCCUGGUGUCUCAUGCAGAGGAAGGACGUGGCGUGUGUGGACAGCCAGCCUGGCGGUGGUGCGUAGUGACUGCCCAGCCUGUGGAAGCUGCUGCUCUUGCCUCUUCGGACUGUCCCUCCCCUGUCUAGGACGUCACUUCAUCUAAACACUGCAGGUUGAGCCCAGUAGGAAAAUGAGAACUGCUCUUUUUCUUUCUUUCUUUUUCUUUUUUUUUUUUUUUUUUAAAUACAGAGUCUCACUCUGUUGCCUAGGCUGGAGUAUAGUCCAUGCUGUUUUGAUAG
Molecule: long non-coding RNA, 598 nt
Filed under: Macaca nemestrina (pig-tailed macaque)
Lineage: Eukaryota; Metazoa; Chordata; Mammalia; Primates; Cercopithecidae
Description: lncRNA (ENSMNEG00000045924.1)
Source: RNAcentral